CUACGGGGCGCUGCAGUGAGGAAUUUUGCGCAAUGGGGGAAACCCUGACGCAGCAACGCCGCGUGAGUGAUGAAGGCCUUCGGGUCGUAAAACUCUGUCAAGUGGGAAGAACCUAUGUAAGGUUAAUACCCUUAUGUACUGACGGUACCACUGAAGGAAGCACCGGCUAACUCCGUGCCAGCAGCCGCGGUAAUACGGAGGGUGCAAGCGUUAUUCGGAAUUAUUGGGCGUAAAGGGCGCGCAGGCGGUUUUGUAAGUCAGAUGUGAAAGCCCGGGGCUUAACCUCGGAAGUGCAUUUGAUACUGCAAGACUUGAGUAUGGGAGGGGGAAGUGGAAUUCCUGGCGUAGAGGUGAAAUUCGUAGAUAUCAGGAGGUACACCAGUGGCGAAGGCGACUUCCUGGACCAAUACUGACGCUGAGGCGCGAAGGCGUGGGGAGCAAACAGGAUUAGAUACCCUUGUAGUC
Molecule: ribosomal RNA, 465 nt
Filed under: uncultured bacterium
Lineage: Bacteria
Description: partial 16S ribosomal RNA
Rfam family: Bacterial small subunit ribosomal RNA
Source: RNAcentral